GGGUUGUGAGGUUAAGUGACUAAGCGUACACGGUGGAUGCCUAGGCAGUCAGAGGCGAUGAAGGGCGUGCUAAUCUGCGAAAAGCGUCGGUAAGGUGAUAUGAACCGUUAUAACCGGCGAUACCCGAAUGGGGAAACCCAGUGUGUUUCGACACACUAUCAUGUCAUGAAUACAUAGUGGCAUGAGGCGAACCGGGGGAACUGAAACAUCUAAGUACCCCGAGGAAAAGAAAUCAACCGAGAUUCCCCCAGUAGCGGCGAGCGAACGGGGAGGAGCCCAGAACCUGAAUCGGCUUGUGUGUUAGUGGAAGCGUCUGGAAAGUCGCGCAGUAAAGGGUGAUAGCCCCGUACACUAAAAUGCACAGGUCGUGAGUUCGAUGAGUAGGGCGGGACACGUGACAUCCUGUCUGAAUAUGGGGGGACCAUCCUCCAAGGCUAAAUACUCCUGACUGACCGAUAGUGAACCAGUACCGUGAGGGAAAGGCGAAAAGAACCCCGGCGAGGGGAGUGAAAUAGAACCUGAAACCGUGUACGUACAAGCAGUGGGAGCACCUUCGUGGUGUGACUGCGUACCUUUUGUAUAAUGGGUCAGCGACUUAUAUUUUGUAGCAAGGUUAACCGUAUAGGGGAGCCGUAGGGAAACCGAGUCUUAACUGGGCGAUUAGUUGCAAGGUAUAGACCCGAAACCCGGUGAUCUAGCCAUGGGCAGGUUGAAGGUUGGGUAACACUAACUGGAGGACCGAACCGACUAAUGUUGAAAAAUUAGCGGAUGACUUGUGGCUGGGGGUGAAAGGCCAAUCAAACCGGGAGAUAGCUGGUUCUCCCCGAAAGCUAUUUAGGUAGCGCCUCGUGAACUCAUCUUCGGGGGUAGAGCACUGUUUCGGCUAGGGGGCCAUCCCGGCUUACCAAACCGAUGCAAACUCCGAAUACCGAAGAAUGUUAUCACGGGAGACACACGGCGGGUGCUAACGUCCGUCGUGAAGAGGGAAACAACCCAGACCGCCAGCUAAGGUCCCAAAGUCAUGGUUAAGUGGGAAACGAUGUGGGAAGGCAUAGACAGCCAGGAUGUUGGCUUAGAAGCAGCCAUCAUUUAAAGAAAGCGUAAUAGCUCACUGGUCGAGUCGGCCUGCGCGGAAGAUGUAACGGGGCUAAACCAUGCACCGAAGCUGCGGCAGCGACGCUUAGCGUUGUUGGGUAGGGGAGCGUUCUGUAAGCCGUUGAAGGUG
RNAcentral lists this ribosomal RNA (1225 nucleotides) under Serratia marcescens. RNAcentral describes it as "partial 23S ribosomal RNA". It matches the Rfam family "Bacterial large subunit ribosomal RNA", at positions 1 to 1258 of the family's 2925-position model. Lineage: Bacteria; Pseudomonadati; Pseudomonadota; Gammaproteobacteria; Enterobacterales; Yersiniaceae. The record is from RNAcentral.